Molecule: long non-coding RNA, 867 nt
Filed under: Vulpes vulpes (red fox)
Lineage: Eukaryota; Metazoa; Chordata; Mammalia; Carnivora; Canidae
Description: lncRNA (ENSVVUG00000001184.1)
Source: RNAcentral
AGACCAUCCUCAUUGCCUCUCAAGGCCCUAACCCAGGAAGCCCAGGGUAGGACCUGUGCCAGGUGGGCACUAGGGUGGGGAGCAGAUAAUCGGAGACUCACUGCCUCACGUGCCUCACCAUCACCAAGGCAACAAGCUCUCCCCUGCUGUUGCCAGGGAAACCAUCUGAACUCUCUCUUUCUCUCACCUUCACCAUGGAGACAGCCAACUGGAAAGGCGCUCCUGGAGGUGGAGGAGGUACCGCAGAGGGAGACGUGCCUCCAGUCCUUUGUGGCUCAGGACGCAGCAUCCAGUAGGAACCCAAGGCCUGGAAAUUCCCGCUCGUUGAGGAAUGUGGGAGACAUUCCUGGAGUUACACGGAAAUACAAUGCAAAGCCAGGAUGUCCCUGGGGAUGGAGAGAUGGCAGCCGAGACGUCCUACCCCAGGGAAGAGAUGCCACUGGUGAAGGUCCUGAGUGGAAACGUCCAGGAAAUCACAAAAUUGCAAAGGAAAUGAUGAAGCCCCACUGUACAGACUUGCCUUUGGAGGAUUGCACAAUCCCAUCAUUCUUGAGCAAAAAUCUCCUCCUGCCCUUUGAUGCAGGGGAGAGAGAGCCCUAUUUCCAAGACCCAACACAGCGGAAACCAAGAUGAGUAGCUGCCCCUUCCUUUCUGACUAUAGUGGGUUGGAUAGGGAAUGUGACUUAUUUCCAUUUUUAAGGGUUGGCCUGAGGGCCUGGAGUCUGAGAGUAAGCAGUCUUUUUAAUCUGCAAGAAGGACCAGCUUCAUGAAAGCAGGAUUGCCAUUGUGAAACUAGAUGCAAGAUUUGAGAAUUAAUUCUGACCUAGUGAUACAGUCAUAAAUAAACUAUUAAUAGCAUGACUUCCA